GAUGAACGCUGGCGGCGUGCCUAAUACAUGCAAGUCGAGCGAACAGACGAGGAGCUUGCUUCUCUGACGUUAGCGGCGGACGGGUGAGUAACACGUGGAUAACCUACCUAUAAGACUGGGAUAACUUCGGGAAACCGGAGCUAAUACCGGAUAAUAUUUUGAACCGCAUGGUUCAAUAGUGAAAGACGGUUUUGCUGUCACUUAUAGAUGGAUCCGCGCCGCAUUAGCUAGUUGGUAAGGUAACGGCUUACCAAGGCAACGAUGCGUAGCCGACCUGAGAGGGUGAUCGGCCACACUGGAACUGAGACACGGUCCAGACUCCUACGGGAGGCAGCAGUAGGGAAUCUUCCGCAAUGGGCGAAAGCCUGACGGAGCAACGCCGCGUGAGUGAUGAAGGUCUUCGGAUCGUAAAACUCUGUUAUUAGGGAAGAACAAAUGUGUAAGUAACUAUGCACGUCUUGACGGUACCUAAUCAGAAAGCCACGGCUAACUACGUG
Molecule: ribosomal RNA, 497 nt
Filed under: uncultured bacterium
Lineage: Bacteria
Description: partial 16S ribosomal RNA
Rfam family: Bacterial small subunit ribosomal RNA
Source: RNAcentral